GGGAUGACACAGUAGGAUAAGCUAAGCACACUGUUGGUUAUGUGUGCCCAAGCAUUGAGGCAGUCAAAGUAGGCAAAUCCGCUUUGAUAAUGCUGGGCUGUGAUGGGGAGCGAAAUUUAGUAGCGAAGUAGCUGAUUUCACACUGUCAAGAAAAGUCUCUAUCGAGGUUAAAGGUACCCGUACCGCAAACCGACACAGGUGGGUGAGGAGAGUAUCCUAAGGCCA
This 225-nucleotide ribosomal RNA is filed under the name Clostridioides difficile. Its description in RNAcentral is "partial 23S ribosomal RNA". It matches the Rfam family "Bacterial large subunit ribosomal RNA", at positions 1466 to 1687 of the family's 2925-position model. The record is from RNAcentral. Lineage: Bacteria; Bacillati; Bacillota; Clostridia; Peptostreptococcales; Peptostreptococcaceae.